Molecule: ribosomal RNA, 481 nt
Filed under: uncultured bacterium
Lineage: Bacteria
Description: partial 16S ribosomal RNA
Rfam family: Bacterial small subunit ribosomal RNA
Source: RNAcentral
GACGAACGUUGGCGGCGUGCUUAAUACAUGCAAGUCAACUGAAGCAGUGGUAGCAAUAUCGCUGUGGAGGUGGCGCACGGGUGAGUAACACGUAGGUAAUCUGCCUUCAGGUCUGGCAUAACUCCGGGAAACCGGGGCUAAUAGCAGAUGAUGCAGCGGCUCGACAUCGAGACAGUUGUUAAAGCUAUGGCGCCUGAAGAUGAGCCUGCGUCUGAUUAGCUAGUUGGCGGGGUAACGGCCCACCAAGGCAACGAUCAGUAGCUGGUCUGAAAGGAUGAUCAGCCACACUGGAACUGAGACACGGUCCAGACUCCUACGGGAGGCAGCAGUAAGGAAUAUUGCUCAAUGGGAGAAAUCCUGAAGCAGCAACGCCGCGUGAGGGACGAAGGGCUUUUGCUUGUAAACCUCUGUAGUGAGAGAAAAAAAUCCCAAUCUUUGGGACAUGAUGGUAUCUCAAAAGUAAGCCCCGGCUAACUACGUG